CAAGGCAGACGGCUCGGUAACACGUAGUCAACCUAACCUGUGGACGGGCAUAACCUCGGGAAACCGAGAAUAAUACCCGAUAGGCCAUGAUGCCUGGAACGGUUCAUGGCCCAAACGAUUUAUCGCCGCAGGGUGGGACUGCGUUCUAUCAGCUUGUUGGUGAGGUAAUGGCCCACCAAGGCUAUAACAGAUACGGGCUCUGAGAGGAGAAGCCCGGAGAUGGGUACUGAGACACGGACCCAGGCCCUAUGGGGCGCAGCAGGCGAGAAACCUUUGCAAUGUGCGAAAGCACGACAAGGUUAAUCCGAGUGUUUCCCGCUAAGGGAAUCUUUUGCCGGUCCCAAAAGCACCGGCGAAUAAGGGGUGGGCAAGUUCUGGUGUCAGCCGCCGCGGUAAAACCAGCACCUCGAGUGGUCAGGAGGAUUAUUGGGCCUAAAGCAUCCGUAGCCGGCCGCGUAAGUUUUCGGUUAAAUCCAUGCGCUCAACGUAUGGGCUGCCGGGAAUACUGCGCAGCUAGGGAGUGGGAGAGGUAGACGGUACUCGGCAGGAAGGGGUAAAAUCCGGUGAACUGCCGAUGACCACCUGUGGCGAAGGCGGUCUACUAGAACACGUCCGACGGUGAGGGAUGAAAGCUGGGGGAGCAAACCGGAUUAGAUACCCGGGUAGUCCCAGCUAUAAACAAUGCAAACUCGGUGAUGCAUCAGGUUGUGCUUGGUGCAGUGCCGCAGGGAAGCCGUUAAGUUUGCCGCCUGGGAAGUACGUACGCAAGUAUGAAACUUAAAGGAAUUGGCGGGGGAGCACCACAAGGGGUGAAGCCUGCGGUUCAAUUGGAGUCAACGCCGGA
Molecule: ribosomal RNA, 844 nt
Filed under: uncultured crenarchaeote
Lineage: Archaea; Thermoproteati; Thermoproteota
Description: bacterial SSU rRNA
Rfam family: Archaeal small subunit ribosomal RNA
Source: RNAcentral